RNAcentral lists this ribosomal RNA (426 nucleotides) under uncultured Geobacter sp. RNAcentral's name for it is "partial 16S ribosomal RNA". It matches the Rfam family "Bacterial small subunit ribosomal RNA", at positions 355 to 774 of the family's 1533-position model. The record is from RNAcentral. Lineage: Bacteria; Pseudomonadati; Thermodesulfobacteriota; Desulfuromonadia; Geobacterales; Geobacteraceae.
UGGGGAAUUUUGCGCAAUGGGCGAAAGCCUGACGCAGCAACGCCGCGUGAGUGAUGAAGGCCUUUGGGUCGUAAAGCUCUGUCAGGAGGAGCGAAGUGCCGUGGGUUAAUAGUCCUCGGUUUGACGGUACCUCCAAAGGAAGCACCGGCUAACUCCGUGCCAGCAGCCGCGGUAAUACGGAGGGUGCAAGCGUUGUUCGGAUUUAUUGGGCGUAAAGGGCGUGUAGGCGGUUUCUUAAGUCUGAUGUGAAAGCCCCGGGCUCAACCUGGGAAGGGCAUUGGAAACUGGGAGACUUGAGUACGGGAGAGGGCAGUGGAAUUCCCAGUGUAGGAGUGAAAUCCGUAGAUAUUGGGAGGAACACCGGUGGCGAAGGCGGCUGCCUGGACCGAUACUGACGCUGAGACGCGAAAGCGUGGGGAGCAAACA